GGCCCUGAAACCCCAGGCUGGGCUUGUUUGAUGUUUAGCAUCCUAAAGCGGCUCCCCACCCUGGCCCCAGCCUGGGAACUGGGAGCUGUGGGCAGGAGAGGAAGGAAAUCAGCUCUCUCAGCUAGCUAGGGGGUCAGGGACUGGGCCAGGCUCAGGAGCGGGGCGAAGAGCGAAACAGAGAUGCUCUGAGCAGGGGAGACAGGGAUACCCGGCUCCUGCCGCUACCAAGAAGGGCACACACUGCGGUCCUCAAGGCCAGGAGGCGGGUGGGGGCAGGGAAUGCCUCAGCCAACAGGGCAGCGGCUCGGCCCUGCUGCUGGCCCGGUGGGAAGUAGCCUGGGGCCCCGCGACUGAAAUCCGAGCCAAGCCCGGGCAGUCUCCGCUAGAAACGCUCUGGGCGCGUCCUCCAGGAGACUCGGAGGCCCCGGGCGCUCCAGCCCAGCGUCCUUGUAGGAGGUUUCUUCCCGAAGCUUAGAGUUUGGCCUUUCAUAGGGAAAGACUUGCUCGGGAGCCUUCUAAGAGGUGUUAAAUCUUCCUGGGCCAGGGCUAGGGAGCUCUAGUAACAGUGCCUUGGUCUGGCAUCCAAGACUCCAAUUUUGAGGCCGCAGGGAGGAAUUAUCAGACUGUAGAGGCCGCCCAGCAGUCAGCGCGCUCACCGCGUCCAAGCGUCGGUGAGGGGCUAUCUCAAGGCACGAGUGCACAAAAGGUAGCGCGAGUCUCUUCUCAGGCGAUCCACAUAAGAGGAAAGGAGAGCCGGGGUUUUCUGACUUCCAACUCAUUAGGGACCAGGAUCAGACACAGAGACUGACUGAAUGGCUCCAAUUAUCAGGAUUUGAAAACCCAGUAUCAGAAUCUACCACUUUGUAGCAUAACAACAAAUGGCUGCUCUCAGAAAAGUACUGUGACCACAGAAAGGUAUUCACUUGGCUCUGCAAACUCCUCCAUUUCCCUCUUGACUCUCCUUUGCCAUAUCAUCUUCUGUCCCCUAUCCUUGCCUGAGAUCCCCAAUGAAUCCUGCCCUUAAUCUGUGGGGGUGGUAGGUGGCACUAGUUUGAAGAGCUUACUGGAUCUCCCUCAGUGAGUCAGCCUGGAGUUGUGUUCAAAAACCCAGACCUCCCAGACACCACCUGCUGCUGUCCAUCAUCAUCUUCAGGUGCUGGGCUCCCUUGUGGGCCUCCUCCUCUCGCCUCUGCUGCAGCUGUCCCAUGGGUGCCUGCCCUCUCUGAUAUCACAAGAGAACCCAUCUAGAUUCCAAGAACAAACUCAUCUUUAUUUGCCUCCCUCACACUGAAGGUAAAAACAACAUUAAUAACCACAAUAAAUACUUAGUGAGUGUUUACUAUUAUUCAUUUAAUUGUUGUUCCUUCCAUUCUAGGCCACGAUAAGAGACAUGCCAUAACUUACUCCUUAAGAGACCUGAGGACACACAUACACAAACAUAUCGGGCAUACCAUCACUAGCACCAAAAUUGAUUUUCCCUGUCUACCCAGAACAGGCCUGAGGGAGAGGGGAAAGCUGAUACCCACCUGUGUCGCUGUUUAUGUGCCGAGUCCAGGAACAGUCCAUACAGCCCUGCUGCAUCCCAUGACGCUGUCACCAAGAAGGAGGUCAUCCAAGGCCGAGGUGUUUUCAUCAGAAUGUUCAUUGAAGUAGCGACGCUGACUUCGUUCUUAGGCAGAUUCUUUUCCUGUGGCAUAUCCAGCCUAUUUGCCUAGUUUUCUCAUUCUUCUGGGGUCUGUUUACUGUAUUCCAGCUACCAAAGUGGUAGAAGUAAAAUUAAAAGAGUUCUAAAUAGCUUUUUUCCAUGUUAGCUGCCUCACAUUAAUGUGGUCCUAUCAUCAUUUGAUGAUUUGGUGACUGCAGUUAUCCAUACUAGCUCUCCUACCACUGACUACUGAGAGUUAAUUAUUACUGAAUAUUCAUCUAUCCAGGGUGAGUUAUAACUUAUGCCAGGUGUUUUGGUGAAUAAUACUAAUGCAAUUCAUUUCACUGUUUACCCUCUCAUCUUAAAGUUAUCUGCUGGUAAAAUAAGAUGGAUUGGAUUGGUACUUAAUUUUUUUUUCUUUGUGAGGCUUCUGCCCUAUCCAUAUUAAACUGUUUUAAAAUUUAUUUUACUAUUCAUACUUCCUGUCCAUGAAUCAUAUAAUCAUGUCCUUUGCCCAUUUAUCCAUUGGGAAUAUUGUUAGUGUUCACAUGUAUGUUUGAAUAAAUUUUCAUAUACUUGGUGCUGAUAAUUCUAUUUUUCAUUUGUGUUAACUUUUUUUGUAUUUAUUGUUAGUUAUUUCUCUUAGAAGUUAAAAUUUUAGGUAACUAUAUUUGACUAUUUUAUUUAAUUUCCAAUUUCUUCAUUGCUCCACUUGUAAGAAAAUUAUCACUUUAAAGUGAAACUAAAAGCCCUAUAUAUUCUUUUGGGUCUCUAUUUCCCACCAUCCCUGAGAUUUUACUCUGACAUUCUCUGGGCCUUAUAGCCCAGGCCCCAUAACUAUUCAAUGCAUUACCUUCACAAAGGUUUAAUACUUGUGUUAUGACUUCAAUUGAGUAGUUACCUUAGAGCCUAUUACCUUAUUUAUCCUGUAUUUAGAACUAUUUCCCAUGUUUUCUGUUGUUCAAGGGGCUUAUAAAUCACACCCAACUUCACACAUUCACUUACUCAUUUACUUAUUCACUCAUUCACACUUCCAUUUAUCCAUUCAUUUACCUAACCAUAUUUGGCACACAAACUCUAGGGUGACCAAUGGUGAUCCUUGCUUCCUGGUGUGUUCACUCUUGUGUGUAGGCAGGACCUGGGACUUGCUUCUGACCAACAGAAUAUGGCAAAAGUGGUGAGAUGUUCUUCCUGUGAUUGUGUUACAUAACAUAAGCCUCUGUCUUGCUAGUAGAGUCACUCUAGACACUCUCCUUGUUGGCUUGAUGAAGUAAGCAGUCAUAUUGAGGAAGCUCUCCUGGUGAGGAACCUUGGGCAGACUCCAGCUAGCAGUCAAAAAGAAGACUGGAUCCCUGGUCUUAGAGCUGCAUGGAAAUGAAUUCUGCCAAUAACCUGAGUGAGCUUAAAAGGGGUUUAUUCCUCAGUCAGGUAUCCAGAUGACAACACAGCCCAGGUGAUACCUUGAUUGCAGUGUUGUGAGACUCUUAAGCAGAGGGCCCAUCUAAGCCAUGCCCUUACCUAGAAACUGUAAGAUAAUAGUUAUUUUGAGCCACAAAGUAUGCAAAGUAUGCAGUAAUUAGUUAUGCAGAAAUAGAGAACAAGUACACUGUGCUGUGCUAAUUAUCAUAUGCAUGAUCUCUUAGUGUUUCAAGUAAUGUCAUAAGCCUGUUAUUAAUAUUAUCUUCAUUUACAGAAGGAGAAACUGAGGCUCGGAAGUUGAUCUCCAGAAGGUUUUGCUCUUAGCCACUACACUAUUAUGGCAUGUUUUACCUUAAUGUAUUGCAUUGUUUCAUGGGUUCAAGUUAUCAUGUCCUUCGACAAGUUUAAAAAUCUAUCUGCUAAAACCUGUCAAAUACAUUAAGGAAAAGUCCUGCAUGGCACAUCUCGCACACAAGAUGUUAAUUAUUCAUACUGCAUGGCUGAGGAUUUUGGAGGCAGACAGAUAUUCACCUGCGGUAUCUGGAACACCAAUGGGGGUCUACAUCAACACAGAAUUUAUACAGCAGCUGGUGCUAGUCAAAGCUAAUGAGAGAAUUUCAGUUUAAUAAAAAGACCCCCAACUGAGCACACCAUCUUGAAAAAAGUAUACUUAUCAAACAACUUUCAAUCAGUUCAAGAGAGACACCUUAAUUGGGAAGAGGAAGGAUUGCAGAGUAGUUUGUAAUCAUGCCAAUUCUAGAUCAAUAACUGCAUGUCUGUUCUGUGGUAGACAUAGCUUUUGCUUCAUAUGAAGUAAUCACAUAUAAAUUCUAUUUGGAUAAGGAAACCUUGCUUUAUUUGACAAUGUAUAAUGAUAUCCUCUUUUAAUACACCUCUUUGUCUUCAUAAUAAACACAAGUAAAAUUUAGAUAUGUGACAGUAAAAGUCAAUAUAAUUGUUGAUUUUUAAAAUAAACUUUGUAUCUAACAGGAAAGCAGUGCUUAUGAAAUUUUUAUAUUUUCAAAAAUAAUUUUGUUGAAAUAAAAUUAUAUGAAUAAAGUUAAA
Saimiri boliviensis boliviensis (Bolivian squirrel monkey) is the source of this 4129-nucleotide non-coding RNA. NCBI's taxonomy places the organism in Eukaryota, Metazoa, Chordata, Mammalia, Primates, Cebidae. The record is from RefSeq and is a predicted model, not a curated record.